CAAGGUUGCUGAGAAGCACAAACAGCCGCUUUCUGCCCAAGUUCAGAAUCCUGAGGACCCUGAGCUUGGUGUCACUGAGAGAACCGGAGGGCGUAUGGGAGAAGGAGGAAGAAACAGAAGUUCAGCAAGGGAAGACACAGAGAGGAAAAUGGAGAAAGAAAUGUUGACUCAGUAGACUACUGAUUAUUUGACCAAUAAACAGUGGAGCAACAAAAAGUCAAAAGAAAACCAACCAGUAGAAAAGAGAACAAAAGAAAACAGUGAUGCAUCUGGAGCCCUGCUGUUUGUUCUCUGCUCCACCGACAGAUGGAGCACUUUAGAAUGCAAGACCCAACGUGAUGGAAACGUAUUCGGAAGGCUUGGACGAGCAAUACGGCAGUUCGACCCUUUACAAUAUAGCGAUCCUGAAACGGCUUUACUGUUUUCUCAUGAAUGAGCUAAAAAAUAAAUGCAAACUAUUUUCUUUUAUCCAAUUCAUAAUGAAUACUAAUAGUAAAUAUACUCAAAACAAAGAUGGCACCUAGAAAAAUGGUUUUGGCUAAAACUUGACAGAAGCACAUCUUGUUGAUAAAAUUUCUAUUUGCAAACUUUGAUUUAGAAUAAUUGGACCUGGUAGAUAUAAUGUCCAUAAAAGUACAUUUCUAACUGCAGAUGCUAUAGUUGGUUGACGUGAACAAAAAAACUUGAUCAACAAAACAAGACGUAGAAAAUUUUCAAUGGGAAAUAAUGAUUCUGAUGAGAAAAAUUCUAGCAAAAGGAAAAAUGUUUAAUUGGAAACAAUUUUACUGUGCUAGGUAGGUAGGUAGGUAGGCCAAACAGAGAGGUUCUGUCCUUUGUGUAU
Long non-coding RNA from Balaenoptera musculus (blue whale), 841 nucleotides. RefSeq lists it as uncharacterized. NCBI's taxonomy places the organism in Eukaryota, Metazoa, Chordata, Mammalia, Artiodactyla, Balaenopteridae. The record is from RefSeq and is a predicted model, not a curated record. The transcript has 3 exons.